GACGAACGCUGGCGGCGUGCUUAACACAUGCAAGUCGAACGGAAAGGCCCUGCUUUUGUUGGGUUCUCGAGUGGCGAACGGGUGAGUAACACGUGAGUAACCUGCCCUUGACUUUGGGAUAACUUCAGGAAACUGGGGCUAAUACCGGAUAGGAGCUCCUGCUGCAUGGUGUGGGUUGGAAAGUUUCGGCGGUGGGGGAUGGACUCGCGGCUUAUCAGCUUGUUGGUGGGGUAGUGGCUUACCAAGGCUUUGACGGGUAGCCGGCCUGAGAGGGUGACCGGCCACAUUGGGACUGAGAUACGGCCCAGACUCCUACGGGAGGCAGCAGUGGGGAAUAUUGCACAAUGGGCGGAAGCCAGAUGCAGCAACGCCGCGUGCGGGAUGACGGCCUUCGGGUUGUAAACCGCUUUCGACUGUGACGAAGCGUGAGUGACGGUAAUGGGUAAAGAAGCACCGGCUAACUACGUG
This 468-nucleotide ribosomal RNA is filed under the name uncultured bacterium. RNAcentral describes it as "partial 16S ribosomal RNA". It matches the Rfam family "Bacterial small subunit ribosomal RNA", at positions 28 to 507 of the family's 1533-position model. The record is from RNAcentral.